Long non-coding RNA from Vespula vulgaris, 1238 nucleotides. RefSeq lists it as uncharacterized. Lineage: Eukaryota; Metazoa; Arthropoda; Insecta; Hymenoptera; Vespidae. The record is from RefSeq and is a predicted model, not a curated record. The transcript is spliced from 2 exons.
UACGUCGUGUCUAAUCAUCCAAGCUCAUCUAAUUUUUUCUUCGCGUCACGAAUGAUAAUACGAUGGUGAUAGAAGGCGACCGUAUGGUAAGUAAAGAAUAGAACAACACGAUAUGAAGAAGUUUCGAAUUAAUGGUGGAGAAAAGAAGAAAAAAGAAAACCGAGGGGAAAAAUAAAUAAAUAAAAAAAAAAAAAAGAACAGCAGAAAAGAAAACACUAUAAAAAGUUCAAAACGUAAUUCGCCACGAAAGACCAUCGAUCUCAGAAAUUGCGUGCGCAUGAACGAGCUAUCAUCAUUCUGCGAUGACGAUGUAAAACGAAUUUUUACGAUGAACGAGCUCUCGCCAUAUUCCGUGCAUACGCAACAACUAGACCUGCUAGACACUACACACCGCGAUACUUGAUUGUAUACUGCGCAACAUGGCUUCAAGGUUGUAAGCCACGAAGUGGUUUCACGUUUGACGAUUAAACUCUAUGCUUGAAGAAAAGAAAGGACGGAAGAAACUAAGUAUUGUAAAACGUUUGAAAAACGUGUUGACUUUAGGCGCGUGACAAAAGUCACGUCAAAGAUUUUCCACGUUUACGUAAAAUAUGGCGCACUGUCGCUAAUAUCCGAUUACGUGGACGAAGCAGAAAUUCUUACUAAUUUCAACGUCUGUAUUCUAUUCUAUCUACGAGAGAGGAAUACGCGUAAAAUGUUUCAUGGCAUAUUUUUUCAUCGAAUGAAUAUAUAUACGAUGUAUGUGUAUGUGUGAAACAAAAAUCAAAGAGAGAAAAAAAAACUACAAUGACUAUGUAUCUCUCACUUCUCGAGACACCUGUCGCUGAAGUAAUAAAACUAGAGUUACUUGUGAAAGCGAUUACGCUAGGUACAUUCCUGGAUACGUCGACGUCAACGUCAUCGUCAUCGUCGUGUUUUCCUAGACUUAAUUCGUCAUUGUUCACGAGGGUACCGUACGUUAUGUUGCGUCAAUCAUGUCAAUAGCAAAAGAAGAAAAGACAGACAAAUGGAAUAAUAAACGGAAAGAAAAAUGUGAUUGCGAAAAAAAAUUACGAUCAGACAUUUUUUCGUGAGACAUCUUCGGAUAAUAAGAUAAGAAAAAACUGGCACACAAGUUUUUGUCCAAAGUUAAUUUGCUCGAAAGCGAUACGUAGGCUUGUGAAGAAAAUUGAAAAAAAAUAAAAUAAAAUAAAACAAAAAGUAAAAAAAAAAAAAAGAAUGAAAAAUAAAAAAUAAAA